UACGUAGGGUCCGAGCGUUGUCCGGAAUUAUUGGGCGUAAAGGGCUCGUAGGCGGUUCGUCACGUCGGGAGUGAAAACUCGGAGCUUAACUCCGAGCCUGCUUCCGAUACGGGCAGACUAGAGGUAGGCAGGGGAGAGCGGAACUCCUGGUGUAGCGGUGGAAUGCGCAGAUAUCAGGAAGAACACCCGUGGCGAAGGCGGCUCUCUGGGACGGUGCUGACGCUGAGACGCGAAAGCGUGGGGAGCGAACAGG
Molecule: ribosomal RNA, 253 nt
Filed under: uncultured bacterium
Lineage: Bacteria
Description: partial 16S ribosomal RNA
Rfam family: Bacterial small subunit ribosomal RNA
Source: RNAcentral